Long non-coding RNA from Hyaena hyaena (striped hyena), 518 nucleotides. RefSeq lists it as uncharacterized. Lineage: Eukaryota; Metazoa; Chordata; Mammalia; Carnivora; Hyaenidae. The transcript has 3 exons. The record is from RefSeq and is a predicted model, not a curated record.
GAUACGGUGUCCCCUCCGGCGCCCACCCGUCCUGUAGGAGGACACCUCCCGUCCACCUGGUCCCCUCGAGCCGACCUGAGGUGUGGAGACGUUCUGCGCGUGAACACCUACGGCAGCCCCGUGUGGCGGUGAGAAGGCGAACACUACUUCCUUCACACCGGUGUCCGCAGCAGCGACUCCGUCACUGGGAUGCCACACGCACCCGCGUCGCGGUGACCACCUGGUGGCGGUUUGCACGGAAGGGGAUGGGCGCCGCUCUGCCUGGCUCGGGUCCCGGCAGCGGGCACGGGGCUGCUUCCUGCGCCUGUCCUGGGUGCUCCAGCCUGCGGGAGCCGAGGCCUCCAGGCCUGCCUCACCCGUCCCAUCUGCGACACCGACCGACUGGCUCGUGGAGUGUUCCCCGGCCGCCGCGAGGCCCGAGUCCUGCAGGGUCCGUGGGUGGGCCGACGCGCACAGAGCACAGGUCUGCGUGUCGAUCCUGCCUGGGGCUAUAGGCCUGUGCGUGUGCCUUUUGUCAA